Molecule: transfer RNA, 56 nt
Filed under: Toxocara cati (cat roundworm)
Lineage: Eukaryota; Metazoa; Nematoda; Chromadorea; Rhabditida; Toxocaridae
Description: transfer RNA-Pro
Source: RNAcentral
CAGUAUCUAGUUUAUAUGUAAAAUUUAGUGUUUGGGUCACUAAGAAUGUUUACUGA